UUCGAUCUCAAAUCAGGUAGGAUUACCCGCUGAACUUAAGCAUAUCAAUAAGCCGGAAGGA
RNAcentral lists this ribosomal RNA (61 nucleotides) under uncultured Tomentella. RNAcentral describes it as "partial 28S ribosomal RNA". The record is from RNAcentral. Lineage: Eukaryota; Fungi; Basidiomycota; Agaricomycetes; Thelephorales; Thelephoraceae.